CGGAGUGUAGCGCAGCCUGGUAGCGCACCUGCUUCGGGAGCAGGGGGCCGGAGGUUCGAAUCCUCUCACUCCGA
Molecule: transfer RNA, 74 nt
Filed under: Methylocapsa palsarum
Lineage: Bacteria; Pseudomonadati; Pseudomonadota; Alphaproteobacteria; Hyphomicrobiales; Beijerinckiaceae
Also listed under: 1 other name
Rfam family: tRNA
About the family: Transfer RNA (tRNA) molecules are approximately 80 nucleotides in length. Their secondary structure includes four short double-helical elements and three loops (D, anti-codon, and T loops). Further hydrogen bonds mediate the characteristic L-shaped molecular structure. tRNAs have two regions of fundamental functional importance: the anti-codon, which is responsible for specific mRNA codon recognition, and the 3' end, to which the tRNAs corresponding amino acid is attached (by aminoacyl-tRNA synthetases). tRNAs cope with the degeneracy of the genetic code in two manners: having more than one tRNA (with a specific anti-codon) for a particular amino acid; and 'wobble' base-pairing, i.e. permitting non-standard base-pairing at the 3rd anti-codon position.
Source: Rfam by way of RNAcentral